Molecule: long non-coding RNA, 783 nt
Organism: Trichomycterus rosablanca
Lineage: Eukaryota; Metazoa; Chordata; Actinopteri; Siluriformes; Trichomycteridae
Exons: 3
Source: RefSeq, a predicted model, not a curated record
UAUAAAGUUGUAGCGUCACCUUUGGCUGAGUGCAUACUAAGUAGUGCAGUAGUGGGCGGUUUGGGACUCAGCCUUGUUUUUAAGCUAGCUGGUUAGCUUACCCUAAUUUUCACGGCAGCUACAAGUGUUUAUGCAUAGAAGCGGACGAAGGAGCACGAAAGUGCACGAAGAAUCACGAAGGUGCACGAAGAAGCACGAAGGUGCACGAAGAAGCACGAAGGCGCACGAAGAAGCACGAAGGCGCUCAAAGGGGGAACCUACAGGCAGCAUCGCACCUCAUCACUGAAAGAGCUGACUGCAGCAGCUGUGGCAAGGACACCGAGAAACGCUCCAGCAACUAAACCUCAUUAAAAAUCCAUUCUCACUCCGCAGCACCGCUUUCAAUUUGAUACCGCGCCCGAAAAUCUCAUCUACAUAAUUUCAAAAUAUCUAAUGAGAGUUGUAGAGAAAUAUAGGGUCUGCAUCAAAACCUAAUGAGCUCUCUACAUAGACGCAUUUUACAUCAUCCUACUUGCACCUGAGAGGAAGGCUGCCUGAAUUCUUAGAUGCCUUAAAAUGCUGCCUACUGAGAUGCCUUAUUCUGACUGAUAUUCUGAUCGAAUAAUGAGAGAGUUCCGUGUGCUUACUCAGUGUGGCUCUUCUCACAAUUAAUUUGCAAUUUUGGGGUUUGUCAGAGACAGUUUAACAGUUUUCAGUACACAGAGGAAGAUGUUAGCUGGAAUGCUAGCGGGUUGUCGCCUCAGCCUAUUGGUUUGAAUGGCCUGAGGCUAACUGUGGCGCUUG